This 130-nucleotide small RNA is filed under the name Marmota monax (woodchuck). Lineage: Eukaryota; Metazoa; Chordata; Mammalia; Rodentia; Sciuridae. The record is from RNAcentral.
GCCGGGUGUGGUGGCUCAUGCCUGUAAUCCCAGUGGCUUGGGAGGCUGAGUCAGGAGGAGAGGAUCACGAGUUCAAAGCCAGCCUCAGCAAUGGCAAGGUGCUGAGCAACUCAGUAAGACCCUGUCUCUA